CGUUUUUUGAUUUUAAUUUAAGAUCGGGCCUGCCCGUUGAUUUAAAAAAUUGAAAGGCUGCGGUAUUUUAACUGUACGAAGGUAGCAUAAUCAUUUGUCUUUUAAUUGGAGGCUAGAAUGAAUGGUUUAAUGAAAGAUAAACUUUCUUUAAUUUAUAUUUUGAAUUUAAUUUUUUAGUUAAAAAGCUAAAAUUUUUUUAUAGGACGAGAAGACCCUAUAGAGAUUAACUCUAUUUAUAAUUUUAUAUUUUUUGUUUUUUAUAUAUAUAUUUAGAAUGUAGAGUUUUGUUGGGGUGACAUUAAAAUUUUAUUAACUUUUAAUAUUUAAUUCAUUAAUUUAUGUAUUUUUGAUCCUGAAUUUUUGAUUAUAAGAUAAACCUACCUUAGGGAUAACAGCGUAAUUUUUUCGGAGAGUUCAUAUCUAUGGAAAAGUUUGCGA
Molecule: ribosomal RNA, 438 nt
Filed under: Potamobates sp. JD-2008
Lineage: Eukaryota; Metazoa; Arthropoda; Insecta; Hemiptera; Gerridae
Description: partial 16S ribosomal RNA
Source: RNAcentral